RNAcentral lists this transfer RNA (69 nucleotides) under Scaphognathops bandanensis. RNAcentral's name for it is "tRNA-Ala". It matches the Rfam family "tRNA". Rfam says of the family: Transfer RNA (tRNA) molecules are approximately 80 nucleotides in length. Their secondary structure includes four short double-helical elements and three loops (D, anti-codon, and T loops). Further hydrogen bonds mediate the characteristic L-shaped molecular structure. tRNAs have two regions of fundamental functional importance: the anti-codon, which is responsible for specific mRNA codon recognition, and the 3' end, to which the tRNAs corresponding amino acid is attached (by aminoacyl-tRNA synthetases). tRNAs cope with the degeneracy of the genetic code in two manners: having more than one tRNA (with a specific anti-codon) for a particular amino acid; and 'wobble' base-pairing, i.e. permitting non-standard base-pairing at the 3rd anti-codon position. Lineage: Eukaryota; Metazoa; Chordata; Actinopteri; Cypriniformes; Cyprinidae. The record is from RNAcentral.
GAGGCCUUAGCUUAAUUAAAGUACCUGAUUUGCAAUUAGGAGAUGCGAGUUAGUUUCUUGUAGGUCUUA